UACGUAGGCAGCAAGCGUUGUUCGGAAUUACUGGGCGUAAAGAGUGUGUAGGCGGUGCUCUAAGUUCGGUGUGAAAUCUCCUGGCUCAACUGGGAGGGUGCGCCGGAAACUGCCGUGCUGGAGUGUGGGAGAGGUGCGUGGAAUUCCUGGUGUAGCGGUGAAAUGCGUAGAUAUCAGGAGGAACACCUGUGGCGAAAGCGGCUCACUGGACCAAUAACUGACGCUGAUGCACGAAAAGCUAGGGGGAGCAAACAGG
RNAcentral lists this ribosomal RNA (256 nucleotides) under uncultured bacterium. RNAcentral's name for it is "partial 16S ribosomal RNA". It matches the Rfam family "Bacterial small subunit ribosomal RNA", at positions 524 to 776 of the family's 1533-position model. The record is from RNAcentral.